CAUAACCCUAAAUAAUCUCGACUCACGUUGCAGCUAUACUGUCGAUUCUCCGACAAAUUGAAUGACCCAAGCUGAUCAGUGAUAAACUGUGUCCCGUAACGAUUCUCCUGCUCCUUCUCAGCCGUCUCCGACAAUAUUGAGGCCCUACAGCCUGUCACUGCCAACGACUGUUUCCUCUCCUCGUCGGCCAAACAUGGGAGCCUGGGUGUAGCCCCUGCAGAUGUCAGUCCUCUAGUUGCUUCCGGAACAUCCACAUUGUUGUGUUUUUGGAAAUAUUUAUUGCGAAAAGUUGGGAAAUAAGUUGAGUGUCAGGGAAAAAGUUGAGUGUUUGAUAUGGCUGUUUCACAACUUCGAGUGAUGAUGAUAAGAGCUGGAGUCAACAAUUUUUUACAGAGUUAAUUGUGGGUCACUGAGAGAAACUAGGUCUAUUGACGGGAGCACGACUGUGAAUAAUCGAUUACAUUGGAAUCAAUUCAUCAAUUAAUGAGUAAUUAUUGAAUUGCAACGACGCCCUCCAGGCACUCCUUGAAAACGAAAAGUAAGGGAGUUUCUAAGGAGGAACCCGAUGAGCUAGACCAACCGAUCGUGUACUCGGAGUCUCCAGCUGCGACUUGGGCAGCUAGACAUAGUUUCAGCG
Diachasmimorpha longicaudata is the source of this 637-nucleotide long non-coding RNA. RefSeq lists it as uncharacterized. The transcript is spliced from 4 exons. The record is from RefSeq and is a predicted model, not a curated record. Lineage: Eukaryota; Metazoa; Arthropoda; Insecta; Hymenoptera; Braconidae.